Molecule: long non-coding RNA, 2380 nt
Organism: Haemorhous mexicanus (house finch)
Lineage: Eukaryota; Metazoa; Chordata; Aves; Passeriformes; Fringillidae
Exons: 3
Source: RefSeq, a predicted model, not a curated record
AUCCGACAGCCCUGCCCCUACAAACAGCAGGCUGGGAUGGGCAGAGCCACUGGGGUGUUCGGGGUGCAGGCACUGAGGUGUUUGUGGUCCAGGCAUGGGGAGCCUUAGUUGAGAGAACAAACAAGUUUUUAGUGAGCAUUUAAGUCAGGGAUCUCACCACGAGCAGCUGUUGCUGCCUUGCCUUGGAGGAGAGACUAUUGCAGCUGACUCUGGAGCCAGGAGAAGCUGCAGAGAUGUCAGGGAGGAAACUGGCCAAGGAGGAUGUGGCAAGUAGUAACAAAAGAGGAGAAAGUAUUUUCUCCCUGGGACCUGGAUGAGAUCAGGGAGAUAAAAAUUGGGCUCAGAAUAGUUAUGAGGAAAGAGGAAGGAGUGGGAGCUAAGACAGCCUUGAGUACUAUCAGCAGGAUAGUGAACGCAAAUGAAUGGGAGGGACACUGCAGCAGGUGAGGAAAUUCUCAUUAAGAACAGCUUAAUGAGACAAUAAAAGCCUCUGGGAAGCCUUACAGUUCCCACGCCUCUCCUCUGGUGAGACUUUCCUGAUUUUGCAGGACAGAGCUGCCCACGCACAGUAAAGCAGAGAGAACCAAACAAGAGGCACCACUGCUGGCUUUGUGUUUGUCCAAACCCUCACCCUGAUAUCCAGCUCGAGCCGUCUGUCUGUGAAGGACCUGUCACGCUCCAGAAACAACUCCAAACAAACAAACAAAAGCCAACCUGAUUGAGCAGUGAUGGAUGGAGCUCAAGAGCUGGGGUGACAGCAGCAUUUAUCUUCUCUCAGGUGAUGGAUGCAGGCUGUCAUCCAGCCCAGUGCAGGAUGAGCAGUGUCCUUCACCUUGGCUGGACUAGGUGUGGUGUGGGGGAGUUUUUUUUUUGCACAUCUCUGCUUGCCAGGGUCGCGUCUGGAUUAAGAACAACAAACCUCUGUGAGCCAGUGUGUUCACACCCAGCAAAUUUUCAGAAUUCCUUAGAUGGCUGCUAAUUGAAUCAUUAUAAAUGAAACAAAAUCCAUGUGCUCAUCUUGGAGCAAGUGUUUGUUGAACUCUCAGCGUUUGAAUAGAGUAUUGUCAAAUUAACAAAUCCCUCUCCCCUGGGAGCUGAAAUUUAAACUGAUGCUCCUCUGAUCAGGAAGACAGAGGUGGGAAAGAAAUUGAUCUUUUUUUCUCCUAGAAAACAAAGGCAGUAGCCUUAUUAAAAAAAGGAUCAGAAGACAGGAUCACUUGGUUCCUGGUCCUGUGGUUUGCUUAAGCAAUGUCAGGAAUUUGGGGCAGCACAAAUCAAACAGUCAGCAAAUUCUGAGUGCCCUAGGGUAUUGAAAAAUGCUUCUGGGGAAGGCUGCUAAUUGCAUUCUGGGUCAGUACUUCACCAUGUGUUGUUUCUGGUUGUUCUGCAUUAAACUGCUGUGCCACACCAGCCUGUAGUGGGGUCCAGCCAGGGAGACUGAUGCUAAGAGAAAUCUCUGCUGCUCUGUGAAGAGGCCAACAAAAAGCUCACCCCCCUUCCUUUUUGUCCUGAAAACCCUGAAACACAAAAAGAACCUGCUUGGGUCAGUGAUCCUGAAUGGACUGUGUGGAGGCACCAGCCUGGAAGCAGAAAAACAUGGACUGGGAAUGAUGGGGGUAGCAAGGGACAGGACUAUUCCCUUACACCUCAGUGUAAUUUGGGAGAGGAUGUAGGAAAGGCAUAGGAUCACUGCAGCAUCUAAGAGGCUUGAUGGCCUCACUGCUCACAUAUUUCUAACAGAUGUCCUGGCUUUGUGGGCCUGCAAGUGGAGUGCUCAACAUCUGCUCCACAGCUCCACGUUAAAUGGCUUCUUCUUCCCCAGCUCCAACUCUGCUGAAAAAAAACAAUCAGAAAAAGAAACUACCAAGUCUUGGAAUGCAUGAAGCAAGAAACAAAUGUGAAAUCUGGAGACACAUUGGCCUGUGAAUAUUUAAAGUGGAAAACACAGCUUGUAGUGGCAGAAACACAGUUUCAGACUAUGAAUUUAAUAUUGUCCCUUUGCAGUCGUGUUUGGUGAGCUUGCCUGUGGCUUUUCCUCCUCUUUUAUGUUAAGGCCAGCGUGGGCAGAAAUAUCUGCUGGCAUGAUCAGCCUCGCUCCAAUGCACCCUGCAGUCCAGGAAUAAGCAAAUUUAAUUGCUUUUUGUGAGAAAAGCUGCAGUGGAAAGUACCUUUGUAGCUUUACGCUCAAUGCUAAAAUUCUGAUCCACAAAACGCUGCUCAACUUGGGCGUACUGAGAAAUGUAAUUUAAAACAGGUUCUAACUGCGCAGUCUGGGGAAAAAACAUGGUGUUUGGGUUUUGUAUUUAAAGGAGGGAUGUGUGUCUGUGUGGGAUGACUGUAACUUCCUCAAAGCAGUUUGUCAUGUGUAUCUUGGGAUAAA